UACGUAGGGUGCGAGCGUUACUCGGAAUUACUGGGCGUAAAGCGUGCGCAGGCGGUUUUGUAAGCCAGAUGUGAAAUCCCCGGGCUCAACCUGGGAAUGGCAUUUGGGACUGCAAGGCUGGAGUGCGGCAGAGGAGACUGGAAUUCCUGGUGUAGCAGUGAAAUGCGUAGAUAUCAGGAGGAACACCGAUGGCGAAGGCAGGUCUCUGGGCUGACACUGACGCUCAUGCACGAAAGCGUGGGGAGCAAACAGG
RNAcentral lists this ribosomal RNA (253 nucleotides) under uncultured bacterium. RNAcentral's name for it is "partial 16S ribosomal RNA". It matches the Rfam family "Bacterial small subunit ribosomal RNA", at positions 524 to 776 of the family's 1533-position model. The record is from RNAcentral.